Molecule: non-coding RNA, 1471 nt
Organism: Megalobrama amblycephala (Wuchang bream)
Lineage: Eukaryota; Metazoa; Chordata; Actinopteri; Cypriniformes; Xenocyprididae
Source: the annotation of a RefSeq genome assembly
UCUGUUUCAGUACAUUUAACAGAACAAGGUUUACUUACAUUUAGGUUAUUAAUUUAAGUUUACGUUCCUGAUACUUCAUGUUAAUGAUUUACCCUUUUCUAUCUACUUAGUGUCUUUGGGACAGGACAGAGUUGAACAGUCUUCAAGAGAAAUGACUGCAAGUGAAGGAGAUCAAGUUAUUUUAAGGUGUAAUUAUACUACAACUGAUAAAAAUCCGUAUCUCUUCUGGUACAAACAGCUACCAAACAAAUCACCAACAUUCAUUCUAAAUAAAUAUACAUUUAGUGACGGAAUAACCGAGGAUGAAUUUAAGAAGAGAUUUUCUGCAACAUUGAACUCCACAUCAAGAUCAGUUCCUCUGAUGAUCCAGGAUGUGUGUGUGUCUGACUCUGCUGUGUAUUACUGUGCUCUGAAGCCCACAGUGACUCAAACACACUCAACACUCACACAAAAACAUGCAAAAUAAAUAAAAACUCUCCAACUUUGCCAAAGCAACACUAUAAACCAAGUGGAAACAUAUAAAAUGACAUUUCACCAGUGAGAAGAAGUGAGACGCAUAUCAGUAAUAAACAAUUAAGUGCUCUUUGUGGGGAACAAUGAAGAAUCACGUCAAGAUGAACCUGCAAGAUGUGAAACUGCAAAGUUCUACUCAAGCAGAGCAUCUCUACAAUAUUUUCAUUUAGUUAUUUUUAUUUCUUCAACUUUUUAGAGUUCAAUAUGAUCCAGAAUGUGUUUGUGUAUUUGGUUUUUAAGCAGCACAUAUAGGUCCCCAUCACACACUCUCUGAUUUCUUUCUUUCAAGGCUCUUGUUCUUGUGUUCAAAACUGUCACUUCCAACCAAUCACCUGCAUCUGAACCAAAGAUGAAGACACUGAAGACACACCUCUUCUGUGAGCUCUGAACUAAAGCAUUAGCAUCGGAGCACAGAGAACAUGAACAGAUCUGUAGAAACAUGGAAAAACACCUGUUUCUGAUUUUAUUUCUGACUUCAGGUGUGAUGACUGCAGACAAGAUUGGGCCAAAUAAAGAAACUAACAUUAUAAAGAAGGAAGACGAGACUGUGACCCUCAGCUGCUCAUAUGAAUCAGGCGGCAGUUAUGUUUAUCUUUACUGGUACAGACAGUAUCCUAACAGUGAACCUCAGUAUUUAAUAUAUAAGGAACGAUCAAGUAGUGGAAGUGGAAGCACCUCUGAUCGCCGCUUUCAGUUGACUACAUCUCAAUCAUCCACUGAACUCAAGAUUAAUGGUGUGACUCUGUCAGAUUCAGCUCUCUAUUAUUGUGCUCUAAGAGUUGGAGCCCAGUGAUACAAAGUCUAUGUGAAGCUGUACAAAAACUCAAAUUCAUUUUUCCUUUUGAUCUCAAGCCACAUCAAACCCACAAUCUAUAAUUCACACAAUAUUAUUACACCAGUGGAAACACCUGUGUGUGGUUACAAAUAACAUUUACUUCAAGUUAUAAAGGGAAAUUGA